GCCGGCGCCCGGGCUCUGGCUCCGUGUCUUCACUCCCGUGUCUAGAGGAGGGAGGGAGGGCCGGGGGCUGUGCUGGGGCGGCU
This 83-nucleotide microRNA precursor is filed under the name Dipodomys ordii (Ord's kangaroo rat). RNAcentral describes it as "mir-149 microRNA precursor family". It matches the Rfam family "mir-149 microRNA precursor family". Lineage: Eukaryota; Metazoa; Chordata; Mammalia; Rodentia; Heteromyidae. The record is from Rfam by way of RNAcentral.